UUGUCCUUUUUAUAAAUUUUCUUCUUAAAAAUCUUAUUAUGGUAAGGAUAAUGUAUUUGUUCCCUUCAGGUGUCUGCCACUGCAGUUGAUGUUGAGACAACUCUCAGUCUUCCUGCAAGUCCUCGCCUGAUACCUGUUUUAAGGGCAUCACACCAACAUUUGCAAUUGGACUUGCUGCUAUGUUUGCAACCUACUACAUUUUCAGCCUUCAGUAUCAAGAUGAGACAGCCUGCCCUGUGGAAUUCAAAAUUAAUGUGUUUGCGCUUCAUUGAUAUAAAUCCAGAGAGAGGGACAAAUGCCAAAAUCAUCAAGCAAGGUUGUCUCUAAGAAGAAAGGUGUGAUGGUCCAGAAGUCGUCUUCUGCAGUCAAAUACACAUGUGGCCAUGCUACUGAAGAAU
Long non-coding RNA from Paramisgurnus dabryanus, 398 nucleotides. RefSeq lists it as uncharacterized. Lineage: Eukaryota; Metazoa; Chordata; Actinopteri; Cypriniformes; Cobitidae. The record is from RefSeq and is a predicted model, not a curated record.